CCUACGGGUGGCAGCAGUGAGGAAUAUUGGUCAAUGGACGGAAGUCUGAACCAGCCAUGCCGCGUGCAGGAUGACGGCUCUAUGAGUUGUAAACUGCUUUUGUACGAGAAUAAUAGUUCUUACGUGUAGGGAUUUGAAUGUAUCGUACGAAUAAGGAUCGGCUAACUCCGUGCCAGCAGCCGCGGUAAUACGGAGGAUGCGAGCGUUAUCCGGAUUUAUUGGGUUUAAAGGGUGCGUAGGCGGAACAUUAAGUCAGCGGUAAAAUCGAGGGGCUCAACCCCUUUAAGCCGUUGAAACUGGUGAUCUUGAGUGGGCGAGAAGUAUGCGGAAUGCGUGGUGUAGCGGUGAAAUGCAUAGAUAUCACGCAGAACUCCGAUUGCGAAGGCAGCAUACCGGCGCCCGACUGACGCUGAGGCACGAAAGCGUGGGGAUCGAACAGGAUUAGAUACCCUAGUAGUC
RNAcentral lists this ribosomal RNA (459 nucleotides) under uncultured bacterium. RNAcentral's name for it is "partial 16S ribosomal RNA". It matches the Rfam family "Bacterial small subunit ribosomal RNA", at positions 338 to 795 of the family's 1533-position model. The record is from RNAcentral.